This 107-nucleotide transfer RNA is filed under the name Thielaviopsis punctulata. RNAcentral's name for it is "Ceratocystis radicicola tRNA". It matches the Rfam family "tRNA". Rfam says of the family: Transfer RNA (tRNA) molecules are approximately 80 nucleotides in length. Their secondary structure includes four short double-helical elements and three loops (D, anti-codon, and T loops). Lineage: Eukaryota; Fungi; Ascomycota; Sordariomycetes; Microascales; Ceratocystidaceae. The record is from Rfam by way of RNAcentral.
GGCACUGUGGCCGAGUGGUUAAGGCGCUGCCCUGCUACUUGCUUCGUGAAGCAAUAUCAGCCAAGGCAGUCCAUUCGUGGGCGCGUGUUCGAAUCACGUCGGUGUCG